Molecule: ribosomal RNA, 500 nt
Filed under: uncultured bacterium
Lineage: Bacteria
Description: partial 16S ribosomal RNA
Rfam family: Bacterial small subunit ribosomal RNA
Source: RNAcentral
AUUGAACGCUGGCGGCAUGCCUUACACAUGCAAGUCGAACGGCAGCACGGGAGCAAUCCUGGUGGCGAGUGGCGAACGGGUGAGUAAUACAUCGGAACGUGCCUAGUAGUGGGGGAUAACUACUCGAAAGAGUGGCUAAUACCGCAUGAGAUCUACGAAUGAAAGCAGGGGAUCGCAAGACCUUGUGCUACUAGAGCGGCCGAUGGCAGAUUAGGUAGUUGGUGGGAUAAAAGCUUACCAAGCCGACGAUCUGUAGCUGGUCUGAGAGGACGAUCAGCCACACUGGGACUGAGACACGGCCCAGACUCCUACGGGAGGCAGCAGUGGGGAAUUUUGGACAAUGGGCGAAAGCCUGAUCCAGCAAUGCCGCGUGCAGGAUGAAGGCCUUCGGGUUGUAAACUGCUUUUGUACGGAACGAAAAGCCCCGGGUUAAUACCCUGGGGUCAUGACGGUACCGUAAGAAUAAGCACCGGCUAACUUCGUGCCAGCCGCCGCAGUAA